RNAcentral lists this ribosomal RNA (501 nucleotides) under uncultured bacterium. Its description in RNAcentral is "partial 16S ribosomal RNA". It matches the Rfam family "Bacterial small subunit ribosomal RNA", at positions 30 to 523 of the family's 1533-position model. The record is from RNAcentral.
AUUGAACGCUGGCGGCAUGCCUUACACAUGCAAGUCGAACGGCAGUACGGGUGCUUGCACCUGGUGGCGAGUGGCGAACGGGUGAGUAAUACAUCGGAACGUACCUUAUCGUGGGGGAUAACGCAGCGAAAGCUGUGCUAAUACCGCAUACGCCCUGAGGGGGAAAGCGGGGGAUCGAAAGACCUCGCGCGAUUAGAGCGGCCGAUGCCUGAUUAGCUUGUUGGUGGGGUAAAAGCCCACCAAGGCGACGAUCAGUAGCUGGUCUGAGAGGACGAUCAGCCACACUGGGACUGAGACACGGCCCAGACUCCUACGGGAGGCAGCAGUGGGGAAUUUUGGACAAUGGGGGCAACCCUGAUCCAGCAAUGCCGCGUGAGUGAAGAAGGCCUUCGGGUUGUAAAGCUCUUUUGUCAGGGAAGAAACACCGGCUCUAACACAGUCCGGGAAUGACGAUACCUGAAGAAUAAGCACCGGCUAACUACGUGCCAGCCGCCGCAGUAA